GCCGAGGGGCGUCGCGAGCCUCGGACACUGUCCACCGGGGAGCCAGUCAUGGAUGCUGUCCCUGAGGGAGAGGGGUGUCCGCGGGGACGACUUCCAUGGGGUGAUUCCCCCCGAAAUACACGCCGGGGAGACGGUGUUUUCCCAUCCAGGCCAGUGACACCGCCCUCCCGCGCGGAAGGGGACGCGAUGCGGGUCUGCGUGUGGCCCUGAUCGGAGGACUUGCCUCCCUUCUGACGGCGGCCCUGAUCCCUCUCUGCCAACAGUAACCAGUGAUGCUGGGCUCUUCCUGUUUAAAAACCCGUCUCUACUGCCCCACCCAGGACGCCUCUGUCUCCAGCAGCCUGAAGGAUGCUUGGGGGUCUCCGCUCACUUGUAAACAAAGGGAGAUGAAGCGCUCAGAGCCCAAGAAAGGGAGAUGAAGCUCUCAGAGCCCAAGAAAGGCCACCCAAACCUUUUCAAGGGCGUCAUCCGGCGCUUUCUCAGGAGCCAGAAGAAAACAUCAAUGACAACAAAAACUGAAAAUGGAAAACCAGUCCUACAAGUUUUGCAGUAAACGGUAAGUCAGAAUAUCAAGUACAAAUAAUAAUACUUUUAUGAUGAAUUACUAACCCGAAGAACCCAUAGGGCUUGGA
Long non-coding RNA from Myotis myotis, 632 nucleotides. RefSeq lists it as uncharacterized. NCBI's taxonomy places the organism in Eukaryota, Metazoa, Chordata, Mammalia, Chiroptera, Vespertilionidae. The transcript has 3 exons. The record is from RefSeq and is a predicted model, not a curated record.